Molecule: ribosomal RNA, 542 nt
Filed under: Nigrospora sp. 2 S22
Lineage: Eukaryota; Fungi; Ascomycota; Sordariomycetes; Amphisphaeriales; Apiosporaceae
Description: eukaryotic LSU rRNA
Rfam family: 5.8S ribosomal RNA (bases 181-334)
Source: RNAcentral
CCCGAUGGAGACGCGGAGGACAUUACAGAGUUAUCCAACUCCCAAACCCAUGUGAACUUAUCUCUUUGUUGCCUCGGCGCAAGCUACCCGGGACCUCGCGCCCCGGGCGGCCCGCCGGCGGACAAACCAAAACUCUUGUUAUCUUAGUUGAUUAUCUGAGUGUCUUAUUUAAUAAGUCAAAACUUUCAACAACGGAUCUCUUGGUUCUGGCAUCGAUGAAGAACGCAGCGAAAUGCGAUAAGUAAUGUGAAUUGCAGAAUUCAGUGAAUCAUCGAAUCUUUGAACGCACAUUGCGCCCAUUAGUAUUCUAGUGGGCAUGCCUGUUCGAGCGUCAUUUCAACCCCUAAGCACAGCUUAUUGUUGGGAACCUACGGCUUCGUAGUUCCUCAAAGACAUUGGCGGAGUGGCAGUGGUCCUCUGAGCGUAGUAAUCUUUUAUCUCGCUUCUGUUAGGUGCUGCCCCCCCGGCCGUAAAACCCCCAAUUUUUUCUGGUUGACCUCGGAUCAGGUAGGAAUACCCGCUGAACUUAAGCAUAUCAAACU